RNAcentral lists this signal recognition particle RNA (91 nucleotides) under bovine gut metagenome. RNAcentral describes it as "Bacterial small signal recognition particle RNA". It matches the Rfam family "Bacterial small signal recognition particle RNA". Rfam says of the family: The signal recognition particle (SRP) is a universally conserved ribonucleoprotein involved in the co-translational targeting of proteins to membranes. Archaeal SRP consists of a 7S RNA and homologues of the eukaryotic SRP19 and SRP54 proteins. The record is from RNAcentral.
CGGGUCCUGCGCAACGGGAAUCCAUGAAUCGUGUCAGGGUGGGAACACAGCAGCACUAAGUGGAAGCUCUCGUGUGCCGCAGGGCAGCCUG